UACGUAGGGUGCAAGCGUUGUCCGGAAUUAUUGGGCGUAAAGAGCUCGUAGGCGGUCUGUCGCGUCUGCUGUGAAAACUCAGGGCUUAACCCUGAGCUUGCAGUGGGUACGGGCAGACUAGAGUGCGGUAGGGGAGACUGGAAUUCCUGGUGUAGCGGUGAAAUGCGCAGAUAUCAGGAGGAACACCGGUGGCGAAGGCAGCUCGCUGGGACGUGACUGACGCUGAGACGCGAAAGCGUGGGGAGCGAACAGG
RNAcentral lists this ribosomal RNA (253 nucleotides) under uncultured bacterium. RNAcentral describes it as "partial 16S ribosomal RNA". It matches the Rfam family "Bacterial small subunit ribosomal RNA", at positions 524 to 776 of the family's 1533-position model. The record is from RNAcentral.